This 161-nucleotide unclassified non-coding RNA is filed under the name soil metagenome. RNAcentral describes it as "partial internal transcribed spacer 1". The record is from RNAcentral.
CAGAGUUUACAACUCCCAAACCCAUGUGAACUAUCCUACUUGUUGCUUCGGCGGCAUGCUACCCGGGAGCCUCAUGCUGCCCCGGAUCAGGCGCCCGCCUAGGACAAACCUAAACUCUUGUUUAUCUUUUGAAUUAUCUGAGUAGUCUUUUACAAUAAUCA